Non-coding RNA from Tetranychus urticae (two-spotted spider mite), 2775 nucleotides. The record is from RefSeq and is a predicted model, not a curated record. NCBI's taxonomy places the organism in Eukaryota, Metazoa, Arthropoda, Arachnida, Trombidiformes, Tetranychidae.
UGCUGCUAUGGAAGAAAAAUAUGGAGAAAAAGAAUAAAAUGGAGAUUAGAAUUUGUGCAUUUUUCAAUUUAAUCUUUUGAUUAAUCUAAAACUAGACGAGAUCAACAAAUAACGAGCAUCAAACCCACAGCUCAUCACCCUUCAGCCUAGUAUACCUCAGGACAUUGACUCAUACAUCUUAUGGUUGUUCAAAAACCCGUAUUAUAAGGUAUACGUUACAAGCCCUCAUAAUUCAACACCUCGAGUGCAAAAAUUGCAUCAAAAAGAAUCUGUGGCAGUUCGAGGAAUAUAUACCUACAAGGAUUUUUUCGUCAUUUUUGGGUUUAUCUUUCAGAUUACGAAAAAUAAUGAGACACAUAUUUAGGCUUCUUUCGCUGGUGCACCUUUUGAUAUCCAAGCACUUUAAGUAAGGAUACUGCAUUGUAAUGUAUUUCAGUUACUGGAAAGUGACUCAACACUUUCAUUUUGUUGUUUUCAUUCAGAAUUAGUUUUAUAAUCUUUUCAAUGAUUGCAAUACAUUACUGUUCUUACUAAAAAACACUGGAUACGAUUAACAGUGCACUAGUGAAAAAAGUCAAGAUACGCGUCUCAUUUUUCGUUCUCAACAAGAUCAGGUCAAAAAAUUCCUACAAGCAAGGGUCCUUCCCUUGUGAAUAUCAAAUUUAAGUUGGAUUACUGUUGCUGACGAAUCGUUUUGAUCAAUUUUACACAGAAAGAGCUUUGUUAUCUCUGCUUGUGUACUAAGUCGGUAAUUGAAUUAUAUUUUCCAGAAAAGGCCGAACAAGAAAAGUCAACUAAUUGAGUGAUUUAUUUUUCUCCUUCUUGGUUUUAAAAUUUACAUAUGUAUACACAAAGUCUGAAUGCAUUUAUUUCGUUUUGCAACAAAGUAUUUGUACUGAUUCUGUUUUUGCAUAAAUUCAGUAUGAAGUGCUCACAAUCGACUCUAGAAAUUGUCAGAAAACAAAAAAAAAGUAAUAAAUUGGUAACCAUAAUGAAUAUGGUGAUGAAAAAGAAGAUGUUUCAAACCAAUAAUAUGUAAGUUAUUUCUUAUUUUUUAUCUUGUUUGAUCAUUGUUUCCAGUUUCCCAAGUGAUUGUUAUGAUGAUGAUGAAGUUACACAAAAGGAAAAAAAGACAUAAGUAGAAAUCGAAGGAAAGGAAAGCAAAAGGAAAAUAAGAAGAGGAAAAAAGAGGCCAAACCAUGGUAUAAUCAAAUUGCAAUAAUAGAUUCAAGGCACGAUUAUGUUUAACUUGGAAGUGGCCAGAGAAGCAGCGUCUCAGACUUUUGGAUAACAACAAUAACAGAAAAAGCUAUAUAUUCAAGUAGAUAGGAAACAGAAAGCAAAUAUCAACAACAACAAUCAUAAUAAUAACAGCAUCAACAGUAGAAACAAGUGAACACACUAAACAAAUUAAUAAUAUCAAGUAAUGGAAGACAAGUGAAUAACCAGAAUAUAAUAAGGAAUGUAAACAAGGAAGCAAAUAUGGAAGUGGAAAAAAUUAAAUCAAGAUUACUUCAUGGGGAUUCUUGAAUAACUAAUUGGAGAGAAAGGUAAACCCAGAUGAUGAUAAUCAAUAGCAGACCAAAUAAUCAACAAGCUACUCCAUUUAUUUCAUGAUAAAGACAUCGUAUAUGGAAUAAACAGAAGAUGGUUUUGUUGACGUUCAUCAUCAUAAUGGUGAUAAUGGCGAUGAUGGUGAUGAUGGAGAUUAUAUGGAAGGGAUUUCAAGAGGAAAAACAAAGAAGCAAAUGCAAAUUACAUGAUAAACAGGAACCAGAGUGAACAGUCAACAAAUGAUUUAACCAAUAAUCAAAUUGACCUUGGUUAACUUUAAUGUUCCCUUGCCUACAAAUUUUGCUUGUUUUAUGGGUUUCAUUUGAAAAAGUGCAGUUAGUUGCUAACUUGUUGCUGAUAUUGUUGCCAGCAAAUGUUCACCAAGGAUAGACCAGAAAGACUGACGACGAAAAUUAAUUUGAAUAUCUCCAGUCUCUCCAGUCAACUCAUGGUUACAAUGUGGAUACAUUAUUAAUAUUGGAUUGAGAUAAAGUAACAAAAUAUAUUGUAGGAAACAUCAAAUCAAAUAAGAUUGAUUAACUUCACUCAUCUGGAUAAAGCUGGUGUUGUAUCCAUUGAUAAAUGACUCUGUCUGCCAAGUUUGAUGCUCAAAUGGUUAUGAAAUGCAAUUUAAUGUGAUUGUAAUAAACGUUAAUUGAUAUGUAAUAUUACGUAUCAAUUUUACAAUCCUUUUCAUUUGAUUAUCAUUACCAAUUUUCAGGGAAACAUUUAUGGGCUACAAUGUUUUUUUACCUUCACCAGUGAUUAAAAGAGUGAUAAAUUGUCAUCAAAUUGAAAUUGAUUUUUCUUGUUCUACACCCGAAACAUUUUCAUUAUUUGACCGCUUCUAGUUAAUUACUCUAAUCACUGAAUCUGACUGUUACAAUAAAUACAAUGCAAUAAGGAAUCAAAUCAGUGAAAGCUACAGCAAAAAAGGUUCGUAAUGAAGGAAUCAAAUGAUAAGCAUUUUGCUAAUGUAAAUCAAUCAAUGUAUUGCAAUAAUUGAAAGCCAACAAUCAAUGUAAAAAAGGCAACAACCAAAUGACCAACAUAAAGGCAAUCCAAUUCAAGAGAAAUGGUAAACUGAUCAAAUGAAUAUCUCAUGAUAAAAGGAAUGGUGGAAAUGUCAAACAGUAAAUUAUUUUCCAAUAUCAAUCAACAUUGAGAAGUAAAUUGUGGAAUUAAAAAUUGUACAAAAACAAAAGUAAUUGGUAAUUAAAA